CAUUGAGGGCAUCCAAAACUCACUCAAGAUCACCAAGUGGUAGGAAAGUACUAACUCCUAGGCAUAGCCCUAGGGGAGUGACUACAAUGUGAAUACUCAUGGAAUGCGUAGCCAGGUGAAGAAGUGAAUGCAUGUUGGCAUCCCAGAGGGACCCCCAUAAGAGGGCAUAGUUUGGGGUUCAGAUUUGACUCCAGCAUACUGUUGAAAUUGGGGCACAGGGGGCUAGUGAUUAGUCAGGAUCAAUCAGUGGAGAGGAGAUUAAAACUCACAUCUGGGAAUCCGGAAUCAGAACUUGUAGUUCUUUUUUUUGAAAUGGAGUCUCGCUCUGUCGCCCAGGCUGGAGUGCAGUGGCGUGAUCUCGGCUCACUGCAACCUCUGCCUUCCGGGUUCAGGCAAUUCUCCCACCUCAGCCUCCUGAGUAGCUGGGAUUACAGGCGCCCACCACCACAGCCGGCUACUUUUUGUAUUUUUAGGAGAGACGGGGUUUCACCAUGUUGGUCAGCCUGGUCUUGAACUCCUGACCUCAUGAUCCACCUGCCUUAGCCUCCCAAAGUGCUGGGAUUACAGGCGUGAGCCACCCGAAAUAUCCUCACCCACAUGUCCUGUACCCUGCCUGAACCCUCCUCCUCUUUUUGUUCUGAUCUUUGAGCUCCCUAGAGCCCAUAAUUCUUUAGAGCAGGUAUGUCCCGAGUCUGAAACAUGCCCUUAUUUGUCCCAAGCUCUGGACAUUUCUCACCCCAAGGCGGAUCAAUCAUGAUUAAAUCACUCCAAUUAAACUUUAGGCUCCAGUCAGACCUUCAGCCAAAUGGAAAAAAAAACUAGGGGAUAAGGGAGGUAGCUGGAGCAAGAAAAUGUUAUUAGUUGAAACCUUAUGGGACCUUCCUCCCUUAGUGAGUCUGUUGGCUAAAGGUUCUCUGGCUUCGUGAAUUAGAAUUGGAUACUGUUUCCAAGUUAGCAAAACCAACUCUACCCCAGCACCCCACGAGGAAGAAUGUGGAAGGAUCUCCCAUUGGCCGGUUGGGGCAAAAGCCUGAGGCAAUCUUUCAUCCCCUUUUGCCAAGGCGAGACUUUCCCAGUGACGGUGAUGUAGUUGGCCACUCUGUCUAGGGGAGUGUUGAGACUAUGGGUGGACUCGGGUGUAGACCUCUGAAGCUGAGAUCACACGAAAACCUGGCCUCCCCGCCAUGUAGCUGUUGGAGAGUAGAAAAAUAGAGCACGCCUGAUGUUUCUAAAUGAGAAGACUUUCAAUAGUAAUGAAGAAUCCAUGGCACUCUCCUCACCCUCAAACACAUGGCAGUCAUUCACAUACAGGCCCCAAAGCCACUGUUAGUGCUGCAGUAGCUCCUGUGGACAUUGGAAAGCCUGGAGAGGGCGUGGAAGAAAUCAGUUGGCCCCCGGCAGGUUCUCUGGGGUUUUGUGCCCUAAAAACUUUCAAAAGUUAACUCCCCACGUCCCCAUCCUGCUUGGGUUUCUGGACUUUUCUGAGGCACCGGCAGAGGGGUCUCGUUGCUCCCUUGAGUGUAGGGGCAGCCCUUUAACCUGGCUCCCUGAGUCCCUGCUUUUUCUGCCUCUGUUGUCUUCUUCCUCGUCUUCCUCUCUCUCAAUAUCUCCCUCUCUUUGUCCCUCCCCAGUUCCUGACCUGGCCCUCCCGGGGUGCCCUUGGCCAGCCCCGUGCCUCCUCAGGGUGUCCCAGCACCAGCCUGGCACAGAGUGGGGCUCAGUUAGAGUAUGUGGGAUGUUGGUUUCGCCAGGUGAGUGAAUGAAAGGACCCGACCACCACAGCUGAGCCACUAGCUGGGCCAUGCGAAGAGUUCUAGGUGCAAAGGCUGGAGGGUGGAAUUCAUUUUUGAGAGGUGUGUGAGCAGCUUCCGACCCCUGCCCCAUCUGAACGGGGGCCUUGCUGGUCGCGUCCCUGCAUUCACCCGCGCGGCCAUCCCGUCAUCCAACAGUUGAUCCUAACUGAGCACGCCCACGGCCCUGGUCUGGCCUGGGCACCGGCCACCGUAGCCCAUCCCUUGAUGGCCUCUGUGUCCCCAGGAGGGCGGGCCGGGGGGUUGCCCAGGGGCUGGAGCAGUGGACUGUGGCUCCACAGAGGUAGGCCGGAGGGUGUGAGGGCAGAUUCAAGCUAUCCCCAGGGCUCUGCUCUGGUCGGAGCCAGCCCCUUCUCCCUCUCUGCCUUCCCCGCCCCAUUCCUGAUGCUGAACUGUUCUGGACCCCUGGCCCUGAGUCUCUCAGGACCAAAGUGGGCACGGGAACAGCUGUAGUGUGUGCCCCCCGGGCUUUGGCCACAGGUCUCCCUCUCGAGGUGUGGUUGUGACUGCGACCCUUCCCUUGCCGUGAUGCCUUCCUCCCCCGGGGCUUGGUCCAGCUCCUUCACUCUCUAGCAGCUGCUGGGGCCCACCUCCCAUGCCGAGGACCAGCAGGGGAAACCUCCAGGGAGCAUCUGCAGGCUCUGCUUCUGCCCGGCUGCUGGCUUGCUCUCCCUGGUGGCUCUCCAGUGGCCAGCUUCCUCACCCACCCGGCACUCCGCUUUGCUCUGUCUCCUGAGGUGGGCCUGACCAACCUCCCCUUCUCUGCCUCAAUCCCUGGGCUCCAGGGCUCAGCUCCACAGCCCUCUGCCUAGCAGGCUGGUUCUCCCUGCCAAGCCCAUACCUGUGGUCACCUGGCCCUCCUGUGGUCUGAGUACCACUCCCCUGCCCCAGGAGCCACUCCCACUCCAGCUGCCUGUUUCCAGCAGGUUCCCAGUGCCCCCGACAAGCCCCUGCUGGUGUCUCCAUCUCCUGCCAAGCAUCCUCCAGUGCCUCCUCCUGUGGGCCUGGCCUCAGGGCUAUGGACAGACUCCUGUCCCAUCCCAGAGACCCCUCGUGAUCGUGCCCUGGCACGUGGGCCGUGGCCCGGCUGGGUCGGCUGAAGAACUGCGGAUGGAAGCUGCGGAAGAGGCCCUGAUGGGGCCCACCAUCCCGGACCCAAGUCUUCUUCCUGGCGGGCCUCUCGUCUCCUUCCUGGUUUGGGCGGAAGCCAUCACCUGGAUGCCUACGUGGGAAGGGACCUCGAAUGUGGGACCCCAGCCCCUCUCCAGCUCGAAAUCCCUCCACAGCCACGGGGACGCCCUGCACCUAUUCCCACGGGACAGGCUGGACCCAGAGACUCUGGACCCGGGGCCUCCCCUUGAGUAGAGACCCGCCCUCUGACUGAUGGACGCCGCUGACCUGGGGUCAGACCCGUGGGCUGGACCCCUGCCCACCCCGCAGGAACCCUGAGGCCUAGGGGAGCUGUUGAGCCUUCGGUGUCUGCAUGUGGGAAGUGGGCUCCUUCACCUACCUCACAGGGCUGUUGUGAGGGGCGCUGUGAUGCGGUUCCAAAGCACAGGGCUUGGCGCACCCCACUGUGCUCUCAAUAAAUGUGUUUCCUGUCUUAAC
RNAcentral lists this long non-coding RNA (3419 nucleotides) under Pan troglodytes (chimpanzee). RNAcentral's name for it is "lincRNA". The record is from RNAcentral. Lineage: Eukaryota; Metazoa; Chordata; Mammalia; Primates; Hominidae.